This 468-nucleotide ribosomal RNA is filed under the name uncultured bacterium. RNAcentral's name for it is "partial 16S ribosomal RNA". It matches the Rfam family "Bacterial small subunit ribosomal RNA", at positions 28 to 507 of the family's 1533-position model. The record is from RNAcentral.
GACGAACGCUGGCGGCGUGCUUAACACAUGCAAGUCGAACGGAAAGGCCCUGCUUUUGUGGGGUGCUCGAGUGGCGAACGGGUGAGUAACACGUGAGUAACCUGCCCUUGACUUUGGGAUAACUUCAGGAAACUGGGGCUAAUACCGGAUAGGAGCUCCUGCUGCAUGGUGGGGGUUGGAUAGUUUCGGCGGUUGGGGAUGGACUCGCGGCUUAUCAGCUUGUUGGUAGGGUAGUGGCUUACCAAGGCUUUGACGGGUAGCCGGCCUGAGAGGGUGACCGGCCACAUUGGGACUGAGGUACGGCCCAGACUCCUACGGGAGGCAGCAGUGGGGAAUAUUGCACAAUGGGCGGAAGCCUGAUGCAGCAACGCCGCGUGCGGGAUGACGGCCUUCGGGUUGUAAACCGCUUUCGCCUGUGACGAAGCGUGAGUGACGGUAAUGGGUAAAGAAGCACCGGCUAACUACGUG